AGCGAACGCUGGCGGCAGGCCUAACACAUGCAAGUCGAACGAACCUUUCGGGGUUAGUGGCGGACGGGUGAGUAACACGUGGGAACGUGCCUUUAGGUUCGGAAUAACUCAGGGAAACUUGUGCUAAUACCGAAUGUGCCCUUCGGGGGAAAGAUUAAUCGCCUUUAGAGCGGCCCGCGUCUGAUUAGCUAGUUGGUUGAGGUAAUGGCUCACCAAGGCGACGAUCAGUAGCUGGUCUGAGAGGAUGAUCAGCCACAUUGGGACUGAGACACGGCCCAAACUCCUACGCGAGGCAGCAGUGGUGAAUCUUGCGCAAUGGGCGAAAGCCUGACGCAGCCAUGCCGCGUGAAUGAUGAAGGUCUUAGGAUUGUAAAAUUCUUUCACCGGGGACGAUAAUGACGGUACCCGGAGAAGAAGCCCCGGCUAACUUCGUG
This 434-nucleotide ribosomal RNA is filed under the name uncultured bacterium. RNAcentral's name for it is "partial 16S ribosomal RNA". It matches the Rfam family "Bacterial small subunit ribosomal RNA", at positions 29 to 507 of the family's 1533-position model. The record is from RNAcentral.